Betta splendens (Siamese fighting fish) is the source of this 687-nucleotide long non-coding RNA. RefSeq lists it as uncharacterized. The record is from RefSeq and is a predicted model, not a curated record. The transcript is spliced from 2 exons. Lineage: Eukaryota; Metazoa; Chordata; Actinopteri; Anabantiformes; Osphronemidae.
CGCCGCUGCGUCCUGACGUUUAGAGGCACAAUCAUGAAUAUUCAGGAGCAGCGCUGGACUCGCAGGAGGAAAAACAAACAGCGCGGCUGUGGAAGCAGAAAAUGCUUCCACUCGGCAGAGCGGCCUUUCUCCCGUAUCAGAGCAGUGACUUUGCGGCGUCUGCGGUUUAACGGCAGCCUGACGGAGAAGACAAGCUGUCGGGCGGUGCCGGUAGGUGGAGAAACAUGGGCCCAUCGUUCCUUAUACGACUGCCUCAGCUCAGCCACAUUCUCCAAAUGUCGGCCGUUCUUUCAAGGUCACCCGGCAGCUUCUGGGCCCCUCCUAAAGGCUCUGCUCUGCUCGACAACCAGUCUCCUCGGAGCUUCAGUUUGCACACAGACGCCUUGAUAUCAUGUUGUGCGAUAGCUUGAUGAACUUCUAAAUGACCUGUCACCUCCGUUGCAGGCUGUCCAGGUACAGUGGGAGAAAAGCAGCUUCCAAUUACAACGCUACUCGACCUCCAGGAUACUCCAAUGGAUUAAAUAAACAGAUAUGGCACUGGCGUUAUUAAACUGCUAGAUACUGUAUAAAUCAUGCAACUCAUAUCACAAAACAGAUAAGAAGUACUUGUUAUGUUAGUCUCACCAGCUUUUGACAUAGUGAAAGCAUUUUAACAGCGUCCAAUAAAGGCGUUACCAAAGACUUCAA